GGUUAAGCGACUAAGCGUACACGGUGGAUGCCCUGGCAGUCAGAGGCGAUGAAGGACGUGCUAAUCUGCGAUAAGCGUCGGUAAGGUGAUAUGAACCGUUAUAACCGGCGAUUUCCGAAUGGGGAAACCCAGUGUGAUUCGUCACACUAUCAUUAACUGAAUCCAUAGGUUAAUGAGGCGAACCGGGGGAACUGAAACAUCUAAGUACCCCGAGGAAAAGAAAUCAACCGAGAUUCCCCCAGUAGCGGCGAGCGAACGGGGAGCAGCCCAGAGCCUGAAUCAGUGUGUGUGUUAGUGGAAGCGUCUGGAAAGGCGCGCGAUACAGGGUGACAGCCCCGUACACAAAAAUGCACAUGCUGUGAGCUCGAUGAGUAGGGCGGGACACGUGGUAUCCUGUCUGAAUAUGGGGGGACCAUCCUCCAAGGCUAAAUACUCCUGACUGACCGAUAGUGAACCAGUACCGUGAGGGAAAGGCGAAAAGAACCCCGGCGAGGGGAGUGAAAAAGAACCUGAAACCGUGUACGUACAAGCAGUGGGAGCACGCUUAGGCGUGUGACUGCGUACCUUUUGUAUAAUGGGUCAGCGACUUAUAUUCUGUAGCAAGGUUAACCGAAUAGGGGAGCCGAAGGGAAACCGAGUCUUAACUGGGCGUUAAGUUGCAGGGUAUAGACCCGAAACCCGGUGAUCUAGCCAUGGGCAGGUUGAAGGUUGGGUAACACUAACUGGAGGACCGAACCGACUAAUGUUGAAAAAUUAGCGGAUGACUUGUGGCUGGGGGUGAAAGGCCAAUCAAACCGGGAGAUAGCUGGUUCUCCCCGAAAGCUAUUUAGGUAGCGCCUCGUGAAUUCAUCUCCGGGGGUAGAGCACUGUUUCGGCAAGGGGGUCAUCCCGACUUACCAACCCGAUGCAAACUGCGAAUACCGGAGAAUGUUAUCACGGGAGACACACGGCGGGUGCUAACGUCCGUCGUGAAGAGGGAAACAACCCAGACCGCCAGCUAAGGUCCCAAAGUCAUGGUUAAGUGGGAAACGAUGUGGGAAGGCCCAGACAGCCAGGAUGUUGGCUUAGAAGCAGCCAUCAUUUAAAGAAAGCGUAAUAGCUCACUGGUCGAGUCGGCCUGCGCGGAAGAUGUAACGGGGCUAAACCAUGCACCGAAGCUGCGGCAGCGACGCUUAUGCGUUGUUGGGUAGGGGAGCGUUCUGUAAGCCUGUGAAGGUGUGCUGUGAGGCAUGCUGGAGGUAUCAGAAGUGCGAAUGCUGACAUAAGUAACGAUAAAGCGGGUGAAAAGCCCGCUCGCCGGAAGACCAAGGGUUCCUGUCCAACGUUAAUCGGGGCAGGGUGAGUCGACCCCUAAGGCGAGGCCGAAAGGCGUAGUCGAUGGGAAACAGGUUAAUAUUCCUGUACUUGGUGUUACUGCGAAGGGGGGACGGAGAAGGCUAUGUUGGCCGGGCGACGGUUGUCCCGGUUUAAGCGUGUAGGCUGGUUUUCCAGGCAAAUCCGGAAAAUCAAGGCUGAGGCGUGAUGACGAGGCACUACGGUGCUGAAGCAACAAAUGCCCUGCUUCCAGGAAAAGCCUCUAAGCAUCAGGUAACAUCAAAUCGUACCCCAAACCGACACAGGUGGUCAGGUAGAGAAUACCAAGGCGCUUGAGAGAACUCGGGUGAAGGAACUAGGCAAAAUGGUGCCGUAACUUCGGGAGAAGGCACGCUGAUAUGUAGGUGAAGUCCCUCGCGGAUGGAGCUGAAAUCAGUCGAAGAUACCAGCUGGCUGCAACUGUUUAUUAAAAACACAGCACUGUGCAAACACGAAAGUGGACGUAUACGGUGUGACGCCUGCCCGGUGCCGGAAGGUUAAUUGAUGGGGUUAGCGCAAGCGAAGCUCUUGAUCGAAGCCCCGGUAAACGGCGGCCGUAACUAUAACGGUCCUAAGGUAGCGAAAUUCCUUGUCGGGUAAGUUCCGACCUGCACGAAUGGCGUAAUGAUGGCCAGGCUGUCUCCACCCGAGACUCAGUGAAAUUGAACUCGCUGUGAAGAUGCAGUGUACCCGCGGCAAGACGGAAAGACCCCGUGAACCUUUACUAUAGCUUGACACUGAACAUUGAGCCUUGAUGUGUAGGAUAGGUGGGAGGCUUUGAAGUGUGGACGCCAGUCUGCAUGGAGCCGACCUUGAAAUACCACCCUUUAAUGUUUGAUGUUCUAACGUGGACCCGUAAUCCGGGUUGCGGACAGUGUCUGGUGGGUAGUUUGACUGGGGCGGUCUCCUCCUAAAGAGUAACGGAGGAGCACGAAGGUUGGCUAAUCCUGGUCGGACAUCAGGAGGUUAGUGCAAUGGCAUAAGCCAGCUUGACUGCGAGCGUGACGGCGCGAGCAGGUGCGAAAGCAGGUCAUAGUGAUCCGGUGGUUCUGAAUGGAAGGGCCAUCGCUCAACGGAUAAAAGGUACUCCGGGGAUAACAGGCUGAUACCGCCCAAGAGUUCAUAUCGACGGCGGUGUUUGGCACCUCGAUGUCGGCUCAUCACAUCCUGGGGCUGAAGUAGGUCCCAAGGGUAUGGCUGUUCGCCAUUUAAAGUGGUACGCGAGCUGGGUUUAGAACGUCGUGAGACAGUUCGGUCCCUAUCUGCCGUGGGCGCUGGAGAAUUGAGGGGGGCUGCUCCUAGUACGAGAGGACCGGAGUGGACGCAUCACUGGUGUUCGGGUUGUCAUGCCAAUGGCACUGCCCGGUAGCUAAAUGCGGAAGAGAUAAGUGCUGAAAGCAUCUAAGCACGAAACUUGCCCCGAGAUGAGUUCUCCCUGACUCCUUGAGAGUCCUGAAGGAACGUUGAAGACGACGACGUUGAUAGGCCGGGUGUGUAAGCGCAGCGAUGCGUUGAGCUAACCGGUACUAAUGAACCGUGAGGCUUAACCUU
Molecule: ribosomal RNA, 2904 nt
Filed under: Escherichia coli
Lineage: Bacteria; Pseudomonadati; Pseudomonadota; Gammaproteobacteria; Enterobacterales; Enterobacteriaceae
Description: 23S ribosomal RNA
Rfam family: Bacterial large subunit ribosomal RNA
Source: RNAcentral